This 465-nucleotide ribosomal RNA is filed under the name Vreelandella stevensii. Its description in RNAcentral is "partial 16S ribosomal RNA". It matches the Rfam family "Bacterial small subunit ribosomal RNA", at positions 338 to 795 of the family's 1533-position model. Lineage: Bacteria; Pseudomonadati; Pseudomonadota; Gammaproteobacteria; Oceanospirillales; Halomonadaceae. The record is from RNAcentral.
CCUACGGGAGGCUGCAGUGGGGAAUAUUGGACAAUGGGCGAAAGCCUGAUCCAGCCAUGCCGCGUGUGUGAAGAAGGCCUUCGGGUUGUAAAGCACUUUCAGUGGGGAAGAAAGCCUUGGGGCUAAUACCCUCGAGGAAGGACAUCACCCACAGAAGAAGCACCGGCUAACUCCGUGCCAGCAGCCGCGGUAAUACGGAGGGUGCGAGCGUUAAUCGGAAUUACGGGGCGUAAAGCGCGCGUAGGCGGUCUGAUAAGCCGGUUGUGAAAGCCCCGGGCUCAACCUGGGAACGGCAUCCGGAACUGUCAGGCUAGAGUGCAGGAGAGGAAGGUAGAAUUCCCGGUGUAGCGGUGAAAUGCGUAGAGAUCGGGAGGAAUACCAGUGGCGAAGGCGGCCUUCUGGACUGACACUGACGCUGAGGUGCGAAAGCGUGGGUAGCAAACAGGAUUAGAUACCCCAGUAGUC